This 395-nucleotide ribosomal RNA is filed under the name uncultured bacterium. Its description in RNAcentral is "partial 16S ribosomal RNA". It matches the Rfam family "Bacterial small subunit ribosomal RNA", at positions 39 to 424 of the family's 1533-position model. The record is from RNAcentral.
GGCCGCGGGAAUUCGAUUCAGGCCUAACACAUGCAAGUCGAACGGUAACGCGGGGCAACCUGGCGACGAGUGGCGAACGGGUGAGUAAAGCAUCGGAACGUGCCCAAUCGUGGGGGAUAACGUAGAGAAAUUUACGCUAAUACCGCAUGAGAUCUAAGGAUGAAAGCAGGGGAUCGCAAGACCUUGCGCGAUUGGAGCGGCUGAUGUCAGAUUAGGUAGUUGGUGGGGUAAAGGCCUACCAAGCCGACGAUCUGUAGCUGGUUUGAGAGAACGACCAGCCACACUGGGACUGAGACACGGCCCAGACUCCUACGGGAGGCAGCAGUGGGGAAUUUUGGACAAUGGGCGCAAGCCUGAUCCUUCAAAGCCGCGUGCAGGAAGAAGGCCUUCGGGUU